Molecule: ribosomal RNA, 253 nt
Filed under: uncultured bacterium
Lineage: Bacteria
Description: partial 16S ribosomal RNA
Rfam family: Bacterial small subunit ribosomal RNA
Source: RNAcentral
UACGUAGGCAGCGAGCGUUGUUCGGAAUUACUGGGCGUAAAGAGUGCGUAGGCGGUUCAGCAAGUUCGGUGUGAAAUCUCCCGGCUUAACUGGGAGGGUGCGCCGGAAACUGCUGGACUAGAGUGUGGGAGAGGAAAGUGGAAUUCCUGGUGUAGCGGUGAAAUGCGUAGAUAUCAGGAGGAACACCUGCGGUGUAGACGGCUUUCUGGACCACUACUGACGCUGAGGCACGAAAGCGUGGGGAGCAAACAGG